AGAGUUUGAUCAUGGCUCAGAUUGAACGCUGGCGGAAUGCUUUACACAUGCAAGUCGAGCGGCAGCGCGGGGCAACCUGGCGGCGAGCGGCGAACGGGUGAGUAAUGCAUCGGAACAUGUCCAUGUCGUGGGGGAUAGCCCGGCGAAAGCCGGAUUAAUACCGCAUACGCCCGAGAGGGGAAAGCGGGGGACCGCAAGGCCUCGCGCGAUUGGAUUGGCCGAUGUCCGAUUAGCUUGUUGGUGGGGUAAAGGCUUACCAAGGCGAUGAUCGGUAGCUGGUCUGAGAGGAUGAUCAGCCACACUGGGACUGAGACACGGCCCAGACUCCUACGGGAGGCAGCAGUGGGGAAUUUUGGACAAUGGGGGAAACCCUGAUCCAGCCAUUCCGCGUGAGUGAAGAAGGCCUUCGGGUUGUAAAGCUCUUUUGUCCGGAGCGAAACGGGCGCGGUGAAUAUCCGCGUCUACUGACGGUACCGGAAGAAUAAGCACCGGCUAACUACGUGCCAGCAGCCGCGGUAAUACGUAGGGUGCGAGCGUUAAUCGGAAUUACUGGGCGUAAAGCGUGCGCAGGCGGUUUUGUAAGCCAGAUGUGAAAUCCCCGGGCUUAACCUGGGAAUGGCAUUUGGGACUGCAAGGCUGGAGUAUGGCAGAGGGGACUAGAAUUCCUGGUGUAGCAGUGAAAUGCGUAGAUAUCAGGAGGAAUACCGAUGGCGAAGGC
This 718-nucleotide ribosomal RNA is filed under the name uncultured bacterium. Its description in RNAcentral is "bacterial SSU rRNA". It matches the Rfam family "Bacterial small subunit ribosomal RNA", at positions 8 to 722 of the family's 1533-position model. The record is from RNAcentral.